UUUUUGGUACUUCCGGAAAGACCGACAGAGGAGAGAGAGGAGCGGAGAGCGAAUGGCGCGGAGCUAAGCUAGCGGCACGCACGGUGAGUGGGAAGAGACGCCACCGCCAUCCACGGGACACACUUCGCCGGGUCGCCAACGGGUCGGCGGCGGAGGACGCUACGCUGCUGCCCAGGUGGACGGAGGAGUUUGACGCGGAGCGCUGGUCCUGGUCCUGGUCCUGGUCCUGGUCCUGGUCCUGGUCCGGGUGAUAGCAUCGUCACACAGAGGUGCGGUUAGCCAAACGUCCCCUUAAUGAGCUCCGACUAAGCGCGCCAACGAGAACUCCAGUUAAAAGUGCACCAACAGGGUCAGUGCUUAAAUAUGUGCAAGGAGGAACUCAAGGCCAGGAGGAAGAUUUAGAUAAUCAACCAUCCACCAGCUGGUCUGUGGACUCUGCAACAGCUCCCAGCCCUGACCAGCAACAACCAUCAACUACCAGUUCAGCACCAGAUCAGCUGUCAGAGGCGAGCCGGGAAGAGCGUCGGAGUGGACCGAUGUGUUGAGCUCGGGGAACAGUGUACAUGUUGUGGACUGUCUUCAGCCCCCCCAGUCCUGCGUCGUCUGUGUCCUCGGUACCAUCAGUUACAGCUCAGUACAGUUAGGAUAAGAUACGGCCUUCAUUAUUUAGAAUUCUGUUACUGAACCCAGAGUGUAUUCUGGAGACAGUGUGAAGAUGUUUCUACUUUACUAAAAUCCCACUUUAAAAAUGCUGCAUUUAUUGACUGUGUGCUUUGAAUGUUGUUUCCAGCACUGACCCAUCACUGUUUUAUCUGCCAUGUCUUCACUGCCAGCAGAUGGCGCUGGUCUGCAACCUGCGGGGGAAAAAAAGUCUUCAAUUUCAAGAAAGUCAAAAGUCACCCGUUACUGCCUGAGCCAAUGUCUGGCUAAAAUGUACCUAAAACCACUUCCCAAGAUGGUUUUAAGAAGAGUUUUAUCUCAGACUCUAUGGUUGCAUUUCCACUUU
Scatophagus argus is the source of this 1006-nucleotide long non-coding RNA. RefSeq lists it as uncharacterized. Lineage: Eukaryota; Metazoa; Chordata; Actinopteri; Scatophagidae. The record is from RefSeq and is a predicted model, not a curated record. The transcript is spliced from 4 exons.